UACGAGGGGGGCGAGCGUUGUUCGGAAUUAUUGGGUGUAAAGAGCUCGUAGGCGGUUUGUCGCGUCGGCUGUGAAAUCCCGAGGCUCAACCUCGGGCCUGCAGUCGAUACGGGCAAACUAGAGUGUGGUAGGGGAGACUGGAAUUCCUGGUGUAGCGGUGAAAUGCGCAGAUAUCAGGAGGAACACCGGCGGCGAAGGCGGGUCUCUGGGCCAUAACUGACGCUGAGGAGCGAAAGCGUGGGGAGCGAACAGG
RNAcentral lists this ribosomal RNA (253 nucleotides) under uncultured bacterium. RNAcentral's name for it is "partial 16S ribosomal RNA". It matches the Rfam family "Bacterial small subunit ribosomal RNA", at positions 524 to 776 of the family's 1533-position model. The record is from RNAcentral.